CUUUAUCUGGGGGAUAGCCUUUCGAAAGGAAGAUUAAUACCCCAUAAUAUAUUUGAUGGCAUCAUUAGAUAUUGAAAACUCCGGUGGAUAGAGAUGGGCACGCGCAAGAUUAGAUAGUUGGUGAGGUAACGGCUCACCAAGUCAAUGAUCUUUAGGGGGCCUGAGAGGGUGAUCCCCCACACUGGUACUGAGACACGGACCAGACUCCUACGGGAGGCAGCAGUGAGGAAUAUUGGACAAUGGGUGAGAGCCUGAUCCAGCCAUCCCGCGUGAAGGACGACUGCCCUAUGGGUUGUAAACUUCUUUUAUACUGGGAUAAACCUACUUACGUGUAAGUAGCUGAAGGUACAGUAUGAAUAAGCACCGGCUAACUCCGUGCCAGCAGCCGCGGUAAUACGGAGGGUGCAAGCGUUAUCCGGAUUUAUUGGGUUUAAAGGGUCCGUAGGCGGACUCGUAAGUCAGUGGUGAAAUCUCAUAGCUUAACUAUGAAACUGCCAUUGAUACUGCGGGUCUUGAGUAAAGUAGAAGUGGCUGGAAUAAGUAGUGUAGCGGUGAAAUGCAUAGAUAUUACUUAGAACACCAAUUGCGAAGGCAGGUCACUAUGUUUUAACUGACGCUGAUGGACGAAAGCGUGGGGAGCGAACAGGAUUAGAUACCCUGGUAGUCCACGCCGUAAACGAUGCUAACUCGUUUUUGGGUUUUCGGAUUCAGAGACUAAGCGAAAGUGAUAAGUUAGCCACCUGGGGAGUACGUUCGCAAGAAUGAAACUCAAAGGAAUUGACGGGGGCCCGCACAAGCGGUGGAUUAUGUGGUUUAAUUCGAUGAUACGCGAGGAACCUUACCAAGGCUUAAAUGGGAAUUGACAGGUUUAGAAAUAGACUUUCCUUCGGGCAAUUUUCAAGGUGCUGCAUGGUUGUCGUCAGCUCGUGCCGUGAGGUGUUAGGUUAAGUCCUGCAACGAGCGCAACCCCUGUCACUAGUUGCCAUCAUUCAGUUGGGGACUCUAGUGAGACUGCCUACGCAAGUAGAGAGGAAGGUGGGGAUGACGUCAAAUCAUCACGGCCCUUACGCCUUGGGCCACACACGUAAUACAAUGGCCGGUACAGAGGGCAGCUACUAUGCGAAUAG
Molecule: ribosomal RNA, 1127 nt
Filed under: Chryseobacterium aquaticum
Lineage: Bacteria; Pseudomonadati; Bacteroidota; Flavobacteriia; Flavobacteriales; Weeksellaceae
Description: bacterial SSU rRNA
Rfam family: Bacterial small subunit ribosomal RNA
Source: RNAcentral